CCUACGGGCGGCUGCAGUGGGGAAUAUUGCACAAUGGGCGCAAGCCUGAUGCAGCCAUGCCGCGUGUGUGAAGAAGGCCUUCGGGUUGUAAAGCACUUUCAGCGGGGAGGAAGGCGUUAAGGUUAAUAACCUUGGCGAUUGACGUUACCCGCAGAAGAAGCACCGGCUAACUCCGUGCCAGCAGCCGCGGUAAUACGGAGGGUGCAAGCGUUAAUCGGAAUUACUGGGCGUAAAGCGCACGCAAGCGGUCUGUCAAGUCGGAUGUGAAAUCCCCGGGCUCAACCUGGGAACUGCAUUCGAAACUGGCAGGCUAGAGUCUUGUAGAGGGGGGUAGAAUUCCAGGUGUAGCGGUGAAAUGCGUAGAGAUCUGGAGGAAUACCGGUGGCGAAGGCGGCCCCCUGGACAAAGACUGACGCUCAGGUGCGAAAGCGUGGGGAGCAAACAGGAUUAGAUACCCCAGUAGUC
RNAcentral lists this ribosomal RNA (465 nucleotides) under uncultured Klebsiella sp. RNAcentral's name for it is "bacterial SSU rRNA". It matches the Rfam family "Bacterial small subunit ribosomal RNA", at positions 338 to 795 of the family's 1533-position model. Lineage: Bacteria; Pseudomonadati; Pseudomonadota; Gammaproteobacteria; Enterobacterales; Enterobacteriaceae. The record is from RNAcentral.